GAUGAACGCUGGCGGCGUGCCUAAUACAUGCAAGUCGAGCGAAUGGAUUGAGAGCUUGCUCUUAUGAAGUUAGCGGCGGACGGGUGAGUAACACGUGGGUAACCUGCCCAUAAGACUGGGAUAACUCCGGGAAACCGGGGCUAAUACCGGAUAACAUUUUGAACCGCAUGGUUCGAAAUUGAAAGGCGGCUUCGGCUGUCACUUAUGGAUGGACCCGCGUCGCAUUAGCUAGUUGGCGAGGUAACGGCUCACCAAGGCAACGAUGCGUAGCCGACCUGAGAGGGUGAUCGGCCACACUGGGACUGAGACACGGCCCAGACUCCUACGGGAGGCAGCAGUAGGGAAUCUUCCGCAAUGGACGAAAGUCUGACGGAGCAACGCCGCGUGAGUGAUGAAGUCUUUCGGGUCGUAAAACUCUGUUGUUAGGGAAGAACAAGUGCUAGUUGAAUAAGCUGGCACCUUGUCGGUACCUAACCAGAAAGCCACGGCUAACUACGUGCCAGCCGCCGCCGUAA
RNAcentral lists this ribosomal RNA (515 nucleotides) under uncultured bacterium. Its description in RNAcentral is "partial 16S ribosomal RNA". It matches the Rfam family "Bacterial small subunit ribosomal RNA", at positions 28 to 523 of the family's 1533-position model. The record is from RNAcentral.